UACAGAGGUCGCAAGCGUUGUUCGGAUUCAUUGGGCGUAAAGGGUGCGUAGGCGGCGCGGUAAGUCGGGUGUGAAAUUUCGAGGCUUAACUUCGAAACUGCAUUCGAUACUGCCGUGCUUGAGGACUGGAGAGGAGACUGGAAUUUACGGUGUAGCGGUGAAAUGCGUAGAUAUCGUAAGGAAGACCAGUGGCGAAGGCGGGUCUCUGGACAGUUCCUGACGCUGAGGCACGAAGGCCAGGGGAGCAAACGGG
This 253-nucleotide ribosomal RNA is filed under the name uncultured bacterium. Its description in RNAcentral is "partial 16S ribosomal RNA". It matches the Rfam family "Bacterial small subunit ribosomal RNA", at positions 524 to 776 of the family's 1533-position model. The record is from RNAcentral.